Molecule: ribosomal RNA, 162 nt
Filed under: uncultured bacterium
Lineage: Bacteria
Description: partial 16S ribosomal RNA
Rfam family: Bacterial small subunit ribosomal RNA
Source: RNAcentral
CAUGGAGCAAGUCUGAUGGAGCAACGCCGCGUGAGUGAAGAAGGUUUUCGGAUCGUAAAGCUCUGUUGUUGGUGAAGAAGGAUAGAGGUAGUAACUGGCCUUUAUUUGACGGUAAUCAACCAGAAAGUCACGGCUAACUACGUGCCAGCAGCCGCGGAAAUA